RNAcentral lists this ribosomal RNA (325 nucleotides) under Aphyosemion escherichi. Its description in RNAcentral is "partial 12S ribosomal RNA". It matches the Rfam family "Bacterial small subunit ribosomal RNA", at positions 868 to 1360 of the family's 1533-position model. The record is from RNAcentral. Lineage: Eukaryota; Metazoa; Chordata; Actinopteri; Cyprinodontiformes; Nothobranchiidae.
CUCGCCAGGGGACUACAAGCAUAAGCUUAAAACCCAAAGGACUUGGCGGUGCUUUAGACCCACCUAGAGGAGCCUGUUCUAUAACCGAUAACCCCCGUUAAACCUCACCUUCUUUUGUUAUUUCCGCCUAUAUACCGCCGUCGUCAGCUUACCCUGUGAAGGUUACCCAGUUAGCAAAAUUGAGUUUAUCCAAAACGCCAGGUCGAGGUGUAGCAUAUGAGAAGGAAAGAGAUGGGCUACAUUUUCUAAUACAGAAAACACGAAAAUUACUAUGAAACAGUGUAUUUAAGGAGGAUUUAGCAGUAAGCAGGGAAUAGAGAGCCCU